AUUGAACGCUGGCGGCAUGCCUUACACAUGCAAGUCGAACGGCAGCACGGGAGCAAUCCUGGUGGCGAGUGGCGAACGGGUGAGUAAUAUAUCGGAACGUGCCCAGUCGUGGGGGAUAACGCAGCGAAAGCGGUGCUAAUACCGCAUACGAUCUACGGAUGAAAGCGGGGGAUCGCAAGACCUCGCGCGAUUGGAGCGGCCGAUAUCAGAUUAGCUAGUUGGUGGGGUAAAGGCCAACCAAGGCGACGAUCUGUAGCUGGUCUGAGAGGACGACCAGCCACACUGGAACUGAGACACGGUCCAGACUCCUACGGGAGGCAGCAGUGGGGAAUUUUGGACAAUGGGCGCAAGCCUGAUCCAGCAAUGCCGCGUGCAGGAUGAAGGCCUUCGGGUUGUAAACUGCUUUUGUACGGAACGAAACGGCCCUUUCUAAUACAGGGGGCUAAUGACGGUACCGUAAGAAUAAGCACCGGCUAACUACGUGCCAGCCGCCGCCGUAA
RNAcentral lists this ribosomal RNA (500 nucleotides) under uncultured bacterium. RNAcentral describes it as "partial 16S ribosomal RNA". It matches the Rfam family "Bacterial small subunit ribosomal RNA", at positions 30 to 523 of the family's 1533-position model. The record is from RNAcentral.